Molecule: RNA transcript, 2078 nt
Organism: Diospyros lotus (date-plum)
Lineage: Eukaryota; Viridiplantae; Streptophyta; Magnoliopsida; Ericales; Ebenaceae
Gene name: magnesium transporter MRS2-11, chloroplastic
Exons: 15
Source: RefSeq, a predicted model, not a curated record
CUUCCCUUUCUCUGUUUGUAUUACGUUCUGACAAAUUAUAUUAUCCGCAAGGAGACAUUCCCAUUCGAUCGGAACAGAGACGCAAACACAUGAGCUCCGCUGGAGCUCCGAUUCGACAAUGGCGCUCGCAAAUCCAUGUUCUCCAACCCUCCCUCAGCCCCGGGCAGUUCACUCUCCGCUUCCGCCGCCUCACUGCCUUCUCUUAACGGGCCACAGCCUGUUCCGGUCACGAUGGCCUUGUUCGCCGAUCAGGUUGCGCAAGGGCAUGGAUACUCUGUUUCCGGUUCCCGUGGGACUGUCGGUGAGAGUCAAUUGCCUGACGAAAUCCGUGGAGGAGAGUUCAUGGAGCGAGUCGGAAACCCUAAGUGACGACGGCGACGGCAACGAUGACGUCAAGGUUGAGCCUGUUGGUGAUAGUAAUAGCUCCUUUGAACAGCAUUCUGGUUCGAUCAGUUCGUCGAGGACCUCGUCAGGCUCUUCAACUGAUACUCCUGUGCUCGGUAUUCGUGAACCGGUUUAUGAGGUGGUUGAAGUGAAGAGCCAUGGAAUGGUAUCUACUAGGAAAAUAAAUAGACGACACUUAUUGAAGUCAGGUGGCCUUCGUCCUCGAGAUAUCCGGAGUGUUGAUCCAUCGUUAUGGUUGACAAAUUCCAUGCCCUCAUUACUGGUUCGUGAGCAUGCUAUCCUAUUGAAUUUGGGUUCCCUACGUGCUAUAGUGAUGCAAGAGUGUGUCUUCAUAUUCAACUACAACCGUAAAGGAGGGAAAGCUUUUAUAGAUGCAUUGUUGCCUCGGUUAAAUCCAAAAAAUAUGAAUGGAGGGCCAUCCAUGCCAUUUGUGCUUGAGGUUGUGGAAGCAGCCUUACAUUCACGUAUACAGCGACUGGAGCAUAGACUAAUGGAUUUAGAACCACAUGUUCAAGGUUUGCUUGAGGUUUUACCUAACCGACUAACUGCUGACAUAUUGGAGCAACUUCGAAUUAGCAAACAGACCUUGGUUGAGUUGGGUUCAAGGGCAGGUGCUCUCAAACAAAUGUUGCUUGAUAUUCUUGAGGACCCCCAUGAAAUCCGCCGAAUCUGUAUUAUGGGAAGAAACUGCACUCUUAAGAAAGGAAGUGAUGACAUGGAAUGCUCUGUACCACUAGAAAAACAGAUUGCUGAAGAAGAGGAGGAAGAAAUUGAAAUGCUUCUGGAGAACUAUCUUCAAAGAUGUGAAUCUUGUCAUGGUCAAGCAGAAAGGCUUCUUGAUUCUGCAAAAGAAAUGGAAGACUCUAUUGCUGUCAACUUAAGCUCUCGGAGGCUUGAGGUAAGCAGAGUGGAAUUGCUUCUUCAAGUUGGGGCAUUUUGUGUUGCUGUUGGUGCUUUGGUUGCAGGUAUAUUUGGCAUGAACUUGAAGUCCUAUCUUGAAGAACAUGUGUUUGCAUUUUGGCUGACAACGGCAGGAAUAAUUGUUGGCUCCGUCGUGGCAUUUUUUCUGAUGUAUUCAUAUCUCAGGGCAAGGAAAAUUCUAUAAGCUUCAGAACAAAGUAAUUAAGUUAGCAAGGAUAACCACUGCCCAUUUAUUUCAAGGGUCCCUGACUCCUUGAUAUUAGUGACAGGUGUGGUGCCAGCAAGUUAGACAAACCUGUCGACUUGACAGUAGCCUCUCUCAAGUAUUUACUGCUGUUUGAUUGGGUGGACUAUUGGUCAGAUGCAUACAAAUAGAGCUUCAUCAUGUAGUUGGUAUUUCAUCAUUUGCCUGAAGUUUGUACAACUUUGUAGUUCUGAGGAGACGAGCAAGGACGUUCAGACAUGUUCAUUCUUGCUGAAUUGCUCCCCGUGGUGCCAUUCCUGAAGAGGAGAUCAUAGCAUGUCUUCCUUGAAGUGGUAGUUAGGUUUCUUACAAUAUAAUUUUGCCUUUCUAAUAUAUAUUUUGAUAGCGUAAGAAGAAUAUUUAUAUGCCGUUGUUGACCUUAAAUAGUGGGUAAAGGCACUUGAUAUGUUGUUGUAUAGAAGGAUUUAUAGGUAUUAAGAUUUCAUGUAUUUGAAAGAUAUAUACAACCUCCUCAAUAUACACAAACUUAGAAAGUAGUCUUCAUUUA